RNAcentral lists this transfer RNA (71 nucleotides) under Solirubrobacteraceae bacterium. It matches the Rfam family "tRNA". Rfam says of the family: Transfer RNA (tRNA) molecules are approximately 80 nucleotides in length. The record is from Rfam by way of RNAcentral. Lineage: Bacteria; Bacillati; Actinomycetota; Thermoleophilia; Solirubrobacterales; Solirubrobacteraceae.
GGCACCGUGGCGGAGGGGUUACGCAGCGGCCUGCAAAGCCGUGUACACCAGUUCAAAUCUGGUCGGUGCCU